GCCCGGCCGCCAGCGUCCGCACCGCGGCGGUGACACGCGCUCCCGUGCCGAACGAGCCGCCGGCAGAGUGAGGCCCGUGGUGGCGCCGAGGGACGUGGAUCGGACGGCGGCGCGCGGGCGGCGGCGUCCCUCAGCCGGGCUGGGAUCGCUCCAGACGUGCUGACCUUUUUACCAAGAUCUUUAAACCACUCUUCGAACGAUCUUCUGAAGCCAGUGAACGGCAAUCACGAUCAAGAGGAUGAUACCACUCGGAUAUCGGAUAUCGAACGAGAUAUCAAGAUGAGCAGGAGCAGCCUGUCCAAUUCAUGUUUGCUGAGAUCAGAUUAUUUUCAAGUCACCUAAUAUGUUCAAAGUGUGCAGUAACGCGCUGGGCAUGAUGCCGAUGCACUCUGACGACGACCUGAUGUCGUGGCUGACGACGCAGCUCGACUACCAGGCGG
Long non-coding RNA from Pollicipes pollicipes, 440 nucleotides. RefSeq lists it as uncharacterized. The record is from RefSeq and is a predicted model, not a curated record. Lineage: Eukaryota; Metazoa; Arthropoda; Thecostraca; Pollicipedomorpha; Pollicipedidae. The transcript has 6 exons.